GAUGAAGAACGUAGCGAAAUGCGAUAAGUAAUGUGAAUUGCAGAAUUCAGUGAAUCAUCGAAUCUUUGAACGCACAUUGCGCCCCUUGGUAUUCCAUGGGGCAUGCCUGUUCGAGCGUCAUUUGUACCUUCAAGCUCUGCUUGGUGUUGGGUGUUUGUCCUUGCUCUAGUGGCGGGACUCGCCUUAAAGUAAUUGGCAGCCAGUGUUUUGGUUUUGAAGCGCAGCACAAGUCGCGAUUCAAGUCUAUACGCUAGUUUCCACAAGUCUUUUAUCACUUUUGACAUCGGAUCAGGUAGGGAUACCCGCUGAACUUAAGCAUAUCAAUAAGCGGAGGA
RNAcentral lists this unclassified non-coding RNA (335 nucleotides) under soil metagenome. RNAcentral describes it as "partial contains 5.8S ribosomal RNA, internal transcribed spacer 2, and large subunit ribosomal RNA". The stretch from base 1 to 120 matches the Rfam family "5.8S ribosomal RNA", at positions 35 to 154 of the family's 154-position model. The record is from RNAcentral.